CAGCGCCGCAAGUGGGAGCCAUAUUUAUUGGGCCUAAAGCGUCCGUAGCCGGUUUGAUAAAUUUCUUGUGAAAUUGCCAGGCUUAACUUGGCAGCGUGCAGGAAAGACUGUCAGACUAGGGACCGGGAGGCGUGUGGGGUAUUCCUUGGGGAGCGGUAAAAUGUUAUAAUCCUUGGAAGACCACCUGUGGCGAAGGCGCCACACGAGCACGGAUCCGACGGUGAGGGACGAAAGCCAGGGGAGCGAUCCGGAUUAGAGACCCGAGUAGUCC
RNAcentral lists this ribosomal RNA (271 nucleotides) under uncultured archaeon. RNAcentral's name for it is "partial 16S ribosomal RNA". It matches the Rfam family "Archaeal small subunit ribosomal RNA", at positions 477 to 747 of the family's 1478-position model. The record is from RNAcentral.